Hemicordylus capensis (graceful crag lizard) is the source of this 3088-nucleotide long non-coding RNA. RefSeq lists it as uncharacterized. Lineage: Eukaryota; Metazoa; Chordata; Lepidosauria; Squamata; Cordylidae. The transcript has 2 exons. The record is from RefSeq and is a predicted model, not a curated record.
AUGCUGUGGCUUUGGUCUAUAUUUAUGUCCUGCAAGUGUAAAAGGGUAAUCAGACUGCUUAAAAUUCACCUUCCCAAUGUGACCAAUGUUAAAAUACAAACUAAAAUUGCCAUCAAAUGAAGGAUUGUUCCUAAAGAUACCCUCUUGAAGCCAUUUUCUUCUUGGCUGGGCAAACGUAAGCAAAAAUCUGCUGUGGGGGGAGCAUUUGCAGGGGGGAAAUGGCCUGGGGAGGGUUAACCCUCAUCUGGAUUUGGGGGUCGAUUUCCACCCCCAGCUGCGCAAAGCAGCAACUUCUGCACUCCCAGCUAUGCCCUUGUUGUCAUACCUGCAAUUUAGUACACAAUAUAACCACAAAUAUGGUCCACCAAUUAAGAUAUUUAUGUUAUUAAUAAAAAAAUAUGACACAGGGUAGAAAACCACUCUAGAAAUGGACUCCCUUUGGUGGGGUUGUUUCUAUCCCAUUUCCAUGUCGAGCCAUUUGGGAUAGGAGAGAACACCCUGUUUCUCUUUGGAAACUUCAGCUUUGCUUCCCCUUGCAAGUGCAGUUGGCCUUGAAAAAUGAUAAUGUCUGAAAAAUAGUCUGAGGCAUUGCAUCGUUCUGUGCUUCUGAGCCAGGGUAGAUGAAACCAGCCUCUCCCACAAUAUGGGACAAUUAAUCAUACAGAAGCAUCUGACCUUGCGGAAGCAGGGAUUUCAGCCACCAGAACAGGCUAAAAGGAUCACAACAGCAGUAACCACAUGUCAGCUUCAGUAAGCCUGGCAUCAGUGGAUCAGCCACUCUGGGUCAACCAGAAGUGGGCCUCUUUCCAUUUCUCCUAGUGGGAUACAGCACAAAAAAGAGGUACCGCAGCCCUGAUUUCACAUGUGAAGGGCUACGCUCAUCUGAACCCGCCCUCAGAGAAUGGGAGCGGAAUAUUUUCCCAGCAUGUUUGUGGCAGAGGCUCCCUUGAGCAAGCAGUUGACCUUUGUAGGCACUAUGACACACAACAAACCAGACAAACCCUCAGAGGUGAAACCACAUUCACAAAUGGAACCAUUGUAAUCUGUGUUUGGCUUGGACAGAAGACGUCGGUUUUCCAUGUAUACAAGAAGCGCAUGCCCAAGGGUAGCUGACAAUAAACCAAACAGAAGUUGUGACAAUUGUGGGAGACUGACUUGUAGGACACACUUGACUAGCUCCCAGACCUAUAAUGAUUGCCUUUAGGUCCGCCACAGUGUGUCCUUUCAGCUGAAAUGCUGAGAAUCGGGAUGUUGAAUCAUGGAUUCUCAUUAGUGUAGGGUUUGAAAAGUUCAUUUUUCUUAGCUAACACUUCACCAUCACACAGAGCGUCAUACUUUGGGUGUGGGGGUCAUCAUUGCACUCCUUUGAAAUACAUUAUUGUAGGUUCUGUGGUCUGGAAAAGUUGAUGGGCAUCCAGUGUAAUGGAACUACUUGGAAGUAGGAGGUCCUACGCAAAUAAAAAUCAUGACUCAGGAUGAGGGUUAAACAGCUACCUCCUCUGGAAGAACAGCUCCCCCAAGCGCUACAAGGAAAAUAGGAGGGCUGGGAGUUUUGUUUCUCUCAUGAUUUUGCCCCGUUUGAAAUCACUUGCAUGUUACCUUGUAGGAUCUUUAGACCUUGAACAGACAGGUAGGGAGGAACAACUAAAAACUGAGUACAAGUAUGUAGUUAUAAAUAUCAGUGGAAGAACUCAAGAGUAGUUCUUGCCUAUAAAUGUAUCAAGGAUAGCCAUGAAGUCACAAAAUAUUUUGAUCACGGACAAGCUAAAUUCAGAGACUAAUUUCAAAGCUUUGUUACAGAAAACAAAACCAAAAAUUAGCUUUUAGCAGAACUUUUUCUUUUUUUAACAUUUUAUAUACAUAGAAAACAUACAUUUUAAAAAAAUAUACAGCAUGAAACCUUUAAUAUAUGAGAAGAAUUUUUUUUAAAAAAAUAAAAUAUUUCAAGUUGUCAAAUACAUUAAACACACCACACAAAGGAAUGGCAUUUUAAGCAUUAUAUCUGAUGCAAUACAAGUAGCUUUUUAAAGGAUAUUAUGAAGACCACUCCGUAGUUUUGCAGAGUGUGUCUGCAUGCCCACACAGCUGAUCAGUGGAAUCCCAGCUUCUUUGAAAGGGCUAGGCACAUCUAGUCCUGACUAUUGGAUCAAACCAAGGAACCAAAUCUGCAAUUGGGCAGCAAGUACAAUUCCCUGUUCAACUAGGAUAUAAUGGCAAUCCUGAAGCCACCUACAGUGUUAACGGCAGAGCCCACACUUGAAUUGGCAACUUAUUGAUUUAUCAGUCACUUUCCGCUUUACACUACACUGAUGACAUUGCUAGCUUUGGGAUGAACAGAGAGUGAUUGCGCAAUAUUUUGAAGAAUAUUUUGUUUAUUGCUAGUUUAUUAAAUUAAUGGCCAUUGCUGGACCAUUAAUCAAUUUGGGGUAACUGCAACAUAUUUAGCUGCCAUUACCUUGGACAGCCCUAAGAUCUUCACAUAGCAUUCUUACUCCUGACAAUUCAAUAAUGCUCUUAUGAUAUCUGUGUUUACUUCGGUGUCUCACUAUAUGCUCCGUUUGCUUAGCAAACAUUUGUCCAAAUGUCUUGGACUGAUACAAUGCCACCUAUAUGUAAAUAAGUAUCUAGGCAGUAAACAUUGUUGUCAGAAGCUGCCUUCUCCAUUCCUCUUUAAAUAUCAAAGUAGUGCCAGUUAAGAACUGUCAAAUUAAUCUCUGCAAUAGUUAGACAUGGAGACCCUGAUGGUCUGGUGGCAGCUCAGAUCUUCUCCCACUGUGUGUUGUUUGGUUCUCUGGGGCGCCCCCCCCCCCCCGCCAAUAAACUAUUCUUGAUUUUGUGUUUACUGCUGUUGCUUGAAGUUCCUUAUAUAGAGUAAAUGUGAUCCAAUUCCCACUUGUGGGCACCCUACACCUAUAUUUCCUGCCAUAAGCAAUAUAUAUUUGAACUCUGUUAUACACCCAAAGUAGCUAAAAAUGCAGGGAAAUGCCUUUUUAAAAAUUGUUAAGCAUCUUUCUCUCAAGAGUAGUGUAAAAUCAGUACUAUUCAUGAUUUCAUUGUAUUUGCAGUGAAUAAAUACACUUGGUCACCA